GAUGAACGCUGGCGGCGUGCCUAAUACAUGCAAGUCGAGCGAACAGACGAGGAGCUUGCUCCUCUGACGUUAGCGGCGGACGGGUGAGUAACACGUGGAUAACCUACCUAUAAGACUGGGAUAACUUCGGGAAACCGGAGCUAAUACCGGAUAAUAUAUUGAACCGCAUGGUUCAAUAGUGAAAGACGGUUUUGCUGUCACUUAUAGAUGGAUCCGCGCCGCAUUAGCUAGUUGGUAAGGUAACGGCUUACCAAGGCAACGAUGCGUAGCCGACCUGAGAGGGGGAUCGGCCAAACGGGAACUGAGACACGGUCCAGACUCCUACGGGAGGCAGGAGUAGGGAAUCUUCCGCAAUGGGCGAAAGCCUGACGGAGCAACGCCGCGUGAGUGAUGAAGGUCUUCGGAUCGUAAAACUCAGUUAUAGGGAAGAACAAAUGUGUAAGUAACUAUGCACGUCUUGACGGUACCUAAUCAGAAAGCCACGGCUAACUACGUG
RNAcentral lists this ribosomal RNA (496 nucleotides) under uncultured bacterium. RNAcentral describes it as "partial 16S ribosomal RNA". It matches the Rfam family "Bacterial small subunit ribosomal RNA", at positions 28 to 507 of the family's 1533-position model. The record is from RNAcentral.